RNAcentral lists this ribosomal RNA (466 nucleotides) under uncultured bacterium. RNAcentral describes it as "partial 16S ribosomal RNA". It matches the Rfam family "Bacterial small subunit ribosomal RNA", at positions 28 to 507 of the family's 1533-position model. The record is from RNAcentral.
GAUGAACGCUGGCGGCGUGCUUAACACAUGCAAGUCGAACGAUGAAGCCCAGCUUGCUGGGGGGAUUAGUGGCGAACGGGUGAGUAACACGCGAGUAACCUGCCCUUAACUCUGGGAUAUGCCUGGGAAACUGGGGCUAAUACCGGAUAGGAGCGCCUACCGCAUGGUGGGUGUUGGAAAGAUUUAUCGGUUUUGGAUGGACUCGCGGCGUAUCAGCUUGUUGGUGGGGUAAUGGCUCACCAAGGCGACGACGGGUAGCCGGCCUGAGAGGGUGACCGGCCACACUGGGACUGAGACACGGCCCAGACUCCUACGGGAGGCAGCAGUGGGGAAUAUUGCACAAUGGGCGAAAGCCUGAUGCAGCAACGCCGCGUGAGGGAUGACGGCCUUCGGGUUGUAAACCUCUUUCAGUAGGGAAGAAGCGAAAGUGACGGUAACUGCAGAAGAAGCACCGGCUAACUACGUG